GAAGCGCGAAAUGUAGUGUGAAUCGCAGAACAUUGUGAAUCAUCGAAUCUUUGAACGCACAUUGCGCCUCCCGUGAGGGAAGCAUGCCUGUCUGAGCGUCAUUUAAACCAUAAACCCGAAAGGGUUUGUCUUGGGCUUUGCACUCGUGCAUUGCCUCAAAGCCAUCGGUCUAUACGAGCGGACGAGAUCCAUUAGGACUGACCGUUCCCAGGACUUUAAACUUCUCUGACUUGACCUCAGAUCAGGUAGGACUACCGCCUGAACUUAA
Molecule: unclassified non-coding RNA, 268 nt
Filed under: uncultured Archaeorhizomycetales
Lineage: Eukaryota; Fungi; Ascomycota; Archaeorhizomycetes
Description: sequence contains ITS1
Rfam family: 5.8S ribosomal RNA (bases 1-101)
Source: RNAcentral